UACGUAGGGCGCAAGCGUUGUCCGGAAUUAUUGGGCGUAAAGAGCUCGUAGGCGGUUUGUCGCGUCUGCUGUGAAAUCCCGAGGCUCAACCUCGGGCUUGCAGUGGGUACGGGCAGACUAGAGUGCGGUAGGGGAGACUGGAAUUCCUGGUGUAGCGGUGGAAUGCGCAGAUAUCAGGAGGAACACCGAUGGCGAAAGCAGCUUUCUGGGACGGUACUGACGCUGAGACGCGAAAGCGUGGGGAGCGAACAGG
Molecule: ribosomal RNA, 253 nt
Filed under: uncultured bacterium
Lineage: Bacteria
Description: partial 16S ribosomal RNA
Rfam family: Bacterial small subunit ribosomal RNA
Source: RNAcentral